Molecule: small nuclear RNA, 107 nt
Organism: Arvicola amphibius (Eurasian water vole)
Lineage: Eukaryota; Metazoa; Chordata; Mammalia; Rodentia; Cricetidae
Source: RefSeq, a predicted model, not a curated record
GUGCUCGCUUUACCAGCCCACGCACUAAAACUGGAACGAUAUGGGGAAUAUUAGCACGGUUCAUACAUGAGGAUGAAGUUCAAAUUCAUGAAGUGUUCUGGAUUUUA